GACGAACGCUGGCGGCGUGCUUAACACAUGCAAGUCGAGCGGAAAGGCCCUGCUUUUGUGGGGUGCUCGAGUGGCGAACGGGUGAGUAACACGUGAGUAACCUGCCCUUGACUUUGGGAUAACUUCAGGAAACUGGGGCUAAUACCGGAUAGGAGCUCCUGCUGCAUGGUGGGGGUUGGAAAGUUUCGGCGGUUGGGGAUGGACUCGCGGCUUAUCAGCUUGUUGGUGGGGUAGUGGCUUACCAAGGCUUUGACGGGUAGCCGGCCUGAGAGGGUGACCGGCCACAUUGGGACUGAGAUACGGCCCAGACUCCUACGGGAGGCAGCAGUGGGAAAUAUUGCACAAUGGGCGGAAGCCUGAUGCAGCAACGCCGCGUGCGGGAUGACGGCCUUCGGGUUGUAAACCGCUUUCGCCUGUGACGAAGCGUGAGUGACGGUAAUGGGUAAAGAAGCACCGGCUAACUACGUG
This 468-nucleotide ribosomal RNA is filed under the name uncultured bacterium. RNAcentral's name for it is "partial 16S ribosomal RNA". It matches the Rfam family "Bacterial small subunit ribosomal RNA", at positions 28 to 507 of the family's 1533-position model. The record is from RNAcentral.